GACGAACGCUGGCGGCGUGCUUAACACAUGCAAGUCGAGCGGUAAGGCCCUUUCGGGGGUACACGAGCGGCGAACGGGUGAGUAACACGUGGGUGACCUGCCCUCAGCUCUGGGAUAAGCCUGGGAAACCGGGUCUAAUACUGGAUAUGACUCCAUGACGCAUGUUGUGGGGUGGAAAGCCUUGUGCGGCUGAGGAUGGGCCCGCGGCCUAUCAGCUUGUUGGUGGGGUGAGGCCUACCAAGGCGACGACGGGUAGCCGGCCUGAGAGGGCGACCGGCCACACUGGGACUGAGACACGGCCCAGACUCCUACGGGAGGCAGCAGGUGGGGAAUCUUGCGCAAUGGGCGAAAGCCUGACGCAGCGACGCCGCGUGAGGGAUGACGGCCUGGUGUAA
Molecule: ribosomal RNA, 395 nt
Filed under: uncultured bacterium
Lineage: Bacteria
Description: bacterial SSU rRNA
Rfam family: Bacterial small subunit ribosomal RNA
Source: RNAcentral